GUGAGGCUGCAGUGGGUCUGCUACGGGCGUUGGUCCGAAAAGAGAAGAAAGAGGUAUGAGAACAAUGUACCACCUGGCAGCCCAGCCAGGGCCUGACCUGAGAGUCAGCGGAGGGGCCUGGUCUCAUCCUCCCUGCACCCCGGCAGUGUGCCAGGCCCUGGGAGGCCUCCUGCCCUGGAGCCUGAGUCUGCCAGGCCAGUUUAUUGAUGGACAAGGUUGGCUGGACUGUCGAGGCGUCAGAAUUCGUGUCCCCAUCUAGGACACCCCCUCCUGGUGUGGAGAUAUGAGGAGUGGAUGGGGUCAUGAGCGGUGCCUUUGAGGAGAGGGCAGUGAAAUGGUUCGGGAUGGUUUGGGGCUCAUUUCCCCGGAGGGCAGAAGAACUAGGCUGCAGUCUUCCCCUGCACCCGCCGCAGCAAGCUCCCUUCCGCCGGGCCCAACGUCUCUCCAGCCUGAUCCGGCCUUGCGGAUUCCGCUACCUUUGCGCCAACAGCUCCUAAGGUGCUGUGUUAUACCAGCCACGCACCCAGCACGUUUGCCUUCAGUCCCGUGGAAGAGCCUUUCCCGCAUGAUCCCCUCUGCCGGCACGGCCCUUAGAGCCAGGGGCCUGGCACAGCAGAAGCAGAGAAAGUGCGUCCCCCUCCCCCACUCCAUGGGACAGUGAUGAUAAGGGCACAGAGCGGUCCUGGGCCUGUCGUGUUCCCAGGCCAACCCUCAGAGUACAGUACUCCUUCAGGUCCAUUGUGAUCAGAAGUUCGCCGAAGUGCCUAGCUGGAUAGAGACUGACUUCCCAGUGUCAUAUGUGCUCUGAAGAGUCUGCUUCUUGGGGAGCAGAGGGUGUAAGUGAGCGAGCCAGAGCCUGCAUGGGGAGUCAGGAGGCGCGGGCUCCUGUGAGGCUGGACACUCGCUGAGGGGACGAGAUGGUCUGAGCUCACGCUAAGGUGACCAACUGUCACCGUUUGCUCGGGACUGAGGGGAUCCCUGGGAUGUGGGACUUUUAGUGCUAAAAUGAGCAUAGUUCUGGGGAAAUCGAGAUGAUUGGUCACUCAAACUCAUAUGCCAAAGUAUUCAAUAAGGAUGUUGUUUUUAACCGGAAAACAAGAAGGAACAGCUCUGUGGUUUUUCAAAGUGCUGAGAAGAAAGCUCCUAGCUGUAUCUCAAAAGUCAAGUUUCUGAGACAAUAAGAAAGUUGCAGUGGGAGGAAAUUUGAGCCAGAAGACCUGAAGUCCCAUUUAUGGACUUUGUACUGUGUUACUUAGGAAAUCAUUCUAACCUCUCUGACCCUUGGUUCGCUUACCUGAGAAAUGGAGAUGAUAGCCCAGCCUGUCUUACUCACAUAGGUUGUGGCUGCCAUCAAGGGACAUAAUGAAAUUGGAAAGUUUAUGCAUUAUGCAUUACGCAUUUGGAAAGUUAUGCAUUUAUGCUCACCACGUUACUACAGGAUGACUAAGACCUGCUGCCAACAACCAUCAUGGCAGACAGUAAGUUCAGGUCAUCUUGAUGAAUAAGGGGGAGGUCAGCCCCACGGGGAAACACAACAUCUCCAUACAUACCUCUAAUACGAUGUGGAAAGAGUCAUAGGAUCCUGUCAACUGAAUAGACCAACCCAGGUUCAGCCAGCAUUUGAGAAUGCAUCAAUUCCUUCUGAGGUCUCCAAGAGUCAAGAUUUGUCCCUAGAAACUCAGAGGAAAGUAUAUAUUGAUGAUAAUGAAAUAUCCAAGACAUUAGAACUCUUAUAUCCCAAGAAUCUGUAAUGACUUGCUCGUCUCUCCCUCUGCCUCCCGCUAACAUUGCUCCUGUGACCUGGGUAAGCUGCCUGGAAACCUAGACUCUGAUGUCCCCUGAGCCCACAUCCCUCCCUUCAGAGCAUAGAGGCCGUAUUUCUUACUUCAGUCUCAUGCAUCAGCUGUGUUUCCUUGUGUUAACGUCUGCUGUGGUCUCAACUCAGGUCAAGACUUGGCUCUGGACCCGGCCUCUCCCAUCUGCCUUUUCCACAAUUAAAUCUAUGGAUGUGGGACCUUGGAAGCUGGGGCCACAGGACUGGGGCUCCAACAGAUUUCUGUGUACUCGAGUCUCCUCUUUUGAGGGGUCCAGGGUUUGGCUGCUGAAGGACGUACAGAGAGAAGUUUUCCAUGACUCUUCUGCAGUACAUUGUGGAGCUUCCAGAUUAGUGGUUCUCAAACUUCAGCACGCGGAAGAACGCCCUAAAGUGCCUGUUAAAAUGCAGUUUCUGGGCCCUGUCUCCCAGAGUUCCUGAUUCAGUACAUCACAAGAAUCCGGGCUUUUCAAUAAGCUGCUGGGCUGCUUCUGAGACAUGCGCUCUGGGAGGGAAUUGAGGCUCAGAGAAGUUAUGGGACCUGCUCAAGGUCACAGAGUGAAUAAGUGAUGACACCAGGACCGAACUGGCUGCUCUGGCUCCUGAUAUCACACUCUUUUCAAUACCUUCAACGGCCUCUCUAGAGAAGACAGCUGCACAGCUGAUACUGGAACCAGGAGACCCUGAUUGUUGGGGAAGGAAAUGGUUUUUCCAGGCCCAUGGACACCUCUGCUCCCAAGAUUUAAGAUCCACUGUGACAGUUUGCUAGACAUGCCCAUCACAUCACCUCCCAAGCAGGGGAAAAUGAAAAGGAGCCAGCUCCAGAUGGUUCCUUUAGGACUUUCUAGAUAAAAAAAGGACAGAUGGCAACUUAAUUUAAAAGAAAUGGAGGAAAAAAUGGGAGAUAACAGUGACAAAUGGACAUGGAUGUGUUCCUACAGACAUGACCUUCUGGCUGCGUACUUGCCUCUUGUCACAGCUCUUUCUGUGUCUAGCACCUUUGUCUCACCCCUCGGGGCACCUGGGGAGGUGAGGUGGUGAGCACCGACAGUUGCUGGAAUUUAUGGGACCAGCGCAGCCCCUCUUCCCACCCUCGUGGUAGGAAGGGGAAGCAUGAUCCAUUUCCUCCCGGGUAAACAGUUUCACAGGAAGCAUUUAUCAAAUGUCACAGGGGCAGUGGCGGGGUCUGGGAUCAGUCAGACAGGAUCUGCGCCUCUCCGACUCUCCCAGGCAAAGGCUAUGGGUUUUCUCCUGCACAGUCCCACCCUCUCUGUCUCGUCUCCCAUCUUCUCCCAACCCGCUGAGCCAAGGGAGAAGAGGACAGACCUGGAGCCCUCCAAGUCCACUCCACCCCUUGGAGUAAACAGAGUUUCUGUCAGGCUGGGCACCUAUAAUAUAGCUGAAUGCCAAGAUCCUUCCAGAAGAAAAGCUGAUAAGGAAAUGUCUGGAAAAGCCUCCAGCAAAUACAGCUCCAUUACUCCUCAUGGCUGGACUUCGACUCUGAAACCAUCCCCCCUACUCUGAGGGGAACCUGAGACUCAUACUUGACUCUUCUUAGGCUGGGGAAGGUUGGCCAUGCAGGACGGCUGCUUUAGGGUUCUCUCCUGCAUUUUCAGGCUCCAGCCCCCUUGUACCAAAGCCAAGGAAAGAAGCCUUCCCUCACCUCGCCUGCUUUGCCCUCACAGGGCCCACAACUUGGCGUCUUUUCUUUGAUGAGAAGCAGUGUGAAGUGGUAGUUAAGCCAGAGGCGUUUCAAUCUCAACUCUGCUGGCUGUGAACUGCAUGACCUUAGGCGAGUUACUGCACCUUCCUGGGCCCAGCUUCCUCGUUAAGCGUAAUGGAAGAUGCCAAGAGGAAGAUGAAAGACUACAGCCCAGCAGCCCCUGGCGGACGAGGACAUAACCAACUGCAACUGAAUCAAAGACAGAAAGAGGAGAGACUCCAGAAGAGCCGGAAAGUGGCAGUCCUUCGGGCAAAGAAGAGGAUGUUUCCAGCUGGGGGUCUGAAGAAAGGCUUGGAAUGGCUUCACGGAGGAGGUGGCAUUUGGGCUGUGCUUCGAAGAAGGGAGAGGAUUUGGGCUUGUUUCCAGAUUCCACGAAGCCGCUGGCUUAUAGAACAGCAGUCUUUCAUCUGGCACCGAGGAGAGAGAGUAUAGAGGGAGAACAGAGGCUAGAGUGCUCCUGUCUGGUGCUUUUUACUUCCAAUGGAGCAUGUGGGGGCAGCAAGGUGAGGAGGUCUCCUCGGUGGCCUGCAGCUGCACGAACUCUUUAAAUGCUUCUGAAGCACAAAGAGGGGCUGCUUCCUUCUUAGGACAUGGGCUGGAGAGGAGGUCCCUCCGUCUCCUGCUCUCACUCAAGCCACUCUUACCCAAGUUCCUUCUCACACCGUGACAUGCCUGUCAGGUUUCUCACAAUGUGGCCUGGGCUCAGACAGCUAAUUCAGUUCUGGUCGACUGGGUGUGACCUGCCACCUCUGGGAACUACCACGGUCUCGGCCUCCCCAGCUAGAAUCAGGUGUCCUCUGUGGCCUCCCUCUCUCUGAGGGCAUGGGCUUGCUGGGCCUAUGUGGUUCUUCUGCGAGAUUCUUUGUCUCAGAGGUACCUCCUCACAGGGGGCCGGAGGACCCUCCCGCAGCCUUUGGGCUGCAUGGCACUCAAGGGCUCUUAUUUGCACGAGGAUUAGGAAAAUGUUGCAUUUUCAGGGAGCCCUGAGAGGGACUGGGAAUCUUCAUCAGAUCUGGAGGCAGCUCAGGAACCAGAGCAAGGGUUUGGGCAGAAAUUGCUCAGGGCAAGAUACAGCUCUCUUCUUCCCUACUACCAUACAGAUCUUAGUUUCUUCUCAAGAUAAACUUUGAACAAAUAUUUAAAGAGUUGAAGGGGAAGGAGCAAAUUAUUAAUCUGCCUAGGGUAUGAACCUGACUCCAUAUCAGUCCUUAAUCCAACAAACUGUGGCAGAGACUGCCAGUAGCCAAGAAAACCUUGUUCUCUUCUUCCUGGUCACCAGCUAGACAGACUACAUUUCCCAGACUCCCUUGCAGCAAGGCAUGGCCAUGUGACUGAGUUCUAGCCAAUGGCAUGUGAGCAGGAGUGAUAAGUGCUACUUCCAUGUCUGGCCCAUCUAAACAUCUCAGGUGCUCUCCUACAUAUUCUGUUCCCCUUUUGGCUGAAUGAGGAUAAUGCCUGGGUGCCCUUGUAAGCCACAUGUUGUAAUGGCAGAGUCCAUCUAGCCUGGAUUCCUACAGAGCUGAGUGGAAGAGGGUCCCUGGGCUGACCUAUUCACCAGUUCAAAACUCAUAUGUGAAUAAGAAAAAAGCAGCCAUUGCAUUUGAACUCUAAGAAUAUUGGGGUCUGUUUGCUAGAGCAGUACACUGUCUCAUAUAGGAACAAACAUUUGAGCCAGACAGGCAGCCUUUAGUCUUUGUGAUCUAUAAGCCUAGACAGUCUGUUCUUGUUAUUUGUAGCAACUGUGUUUUAUAGUUUCUGUGAAUACUGAAUUAGCAAAUACGGAGCCAUUGCUCAUAGGAGAAAUUCAGGAUUAUCAUCCUGUGAGAAGACACUUCUAUUUAAAGACACCUUAUUUAACUAUGUUAUUGAUUCAUUAACAAUGAACUCACAGCCAACAGUACUAUAACUCAUGCCUGAAGAAACUUAUCUAACACACAUAUUAUUUGCUCUAUAAGGCACAUCAUAGCCUUCUUGUGCUAAGGAACAGCACUUUAGCACUAUGCUUAGGGCCAAUUUUAAACAAUGAAAUUACAAAAAAAAAAAAACCCACAAAAAUGCAAAAAAUGUGGCACUAACUAGACUGGGAAAAGGACACUUGUUUACAGUAUGAGAGCUGAAACAAGAAGCCAGAGCACGGACCUCAGCUGAGAAUGUGUCAAGGGACUAAAGUUUUUUGCCUCUCCGUGAAUAUCCAUGAAUGAUGGCCAAAGGGCCAUGAAUAUUGACUUUGGGGUUUCAACAUGCAAAUGAAGGAAACAAGACUGAGCGGCCUUCUGUCCAGAAAGCAGGAAAUGAAGCCUGUCUGGGACCACAUAUUCCCUUGGGACACGUCGUAGUGUCAGAAAUGGGUUCUGGAAGAAGCUGGCCUUUGUUCAUUUCUGUUUCGUGAGUGAGCUCCUCCUCUUGGCCCUGGCUGGAGGGGUGGCUUCCCACCCACAUUCCCCAGGAGUGUUAAACCAAAGAGAAGCUCAUCAGGACUCCAGUCAGGCUCUGCUAUCUCUAGAGCCGCCAUCAGAAGCGCCCGCCCUCCUCAGCCUUGCUUUCCACUGACAGAAACGUUGACUUUUCCAGAUGAGAUGUUCUGAGCCAACCAGUUGCUCUCACAUGAAGCAGAACCACAGUCAUGAGGAGGCAGCUUAUCCUCGGGCCCUAAGAGGCCGGAGCUGAUGCUGUUGCACUUGGCUGGAUUGAUGUUUAAAUGUCCUCUGCCUCACAGGCAGCCUUCCCUCCGGCCGGAGGGACCCUGGAUCUCUGUAACCUCUGUGAGGGGUAAAGUCUACUGUUAAUCUCACUAACGAGGGGUCUGUUUCACAAACCGGCCAAGCCCUGGUUUCUUCCAAGGAGACAUAACAGUGUUUUCUGCAGAGGGGCCUGUGAUAAGAUAUCUCAGAAAUGGAGUGAUUUAGGGCUAGCCCGGUGGCGCAGCAAAGUUCACACGUUCUGCUUCGGUGGCCUGGGGUUCGCUGGGUUUGGAUCCCAGGUGCAUAGGGCACAGCUUGGCAAGCCAUGCUGUCUCAGGCAUUCCACAUAUAAAAUAGAAGAUGAUGGACACUGAUGUUAGCUCAGGGCCAGGCUUCCUCAGCAAAAAGAGGAGGAUUGGCGGCAGAUGUUACCUCAGGGCCAAUCUUCCUCAAAAAAGAAAAGAAAAAGAAAUGAGGUGAUUUAUAAAAAGGAUGUUAUUUCCUACAGAGUAGGAAGCUGGAAGAUCCUUUUAGAUAUUAUUUACUCAUUAGACAGACCGAUAAAGAAACUAAAGCCCAGAGCAGGGCAGUAGCUGCUGGAGGGCCCAGAGCCACGUGGUAGGAGAGCUGGGAGAGAGGCCUGGGUACUGAGCGAGCUGCUGUGUUUGGGCUGCUCUGCACAUCCCCGUGUUUCUGUAUUCCUCCAUGCUCACGGAGUCUUCCUCAGACUUCAGUCUCCAGAUGUGCCAUAGUUUAAUUUGGGGGUCCUCAAGUCAAAAUUUCAAGAACUGAAGAAUACGGAUCAUGAGACCUGCUGAAUAACAUCGAAGGAACUUCUGAACACGCCACCAUUUAAGCGGAGAGGGUCCCUCCCUUCCGCUGCAAUCAGGCUAUUACAGGCUCGCUCUGCCUCUUACCCGCUGGGCGCAGGCCAAGCCCAGAGCCCGGAGCUCCUACUAUGACUUGGCCGAGCAGCAAGCUAUUCAUCCACACGUCCAAGGCCACUUUUGUGCGAACAGCUUCGCAUCACCUGCCCCUGGAGACUUCGGAUCACCCCUCUGCUCCCCCGCCCUCCCCUGCUCCAGCCCCUCUCUGGCUGUGCAGGAGCCAAAGGGGAUUUGUGAUAACAGAGUCACAGGCACAGGCCCAACCCAGGCCCGAGGAGCUUGACCUGAGGCAAGAGCAUAGCCCAGAACAACACACGCCACUCCCCAGCAAGGAGGGGUGGCCUGGCACUCAAAUCGAAAACUCCUGGGCUUUUGAUGGAAGCCAUAAAACAAAGGUAGUAUUCCAGAAGGAAUCUCAGAUCCUUGUUCAUACUGGAGCCCAAGUGACCAUCAAAACAAGAGGCUGCUUCUCCAUAGGCAGUUCCGAGGAUCAAGGUUCCUGUUAAUUCUGGAUUUGGAAAAACAUACCUGGGAAGGAGGCAGGCACUCCCACUGCAUUACCUCUGAGAAAGACACAGCCACAGGAUUCUCGUCCAUCUGAUUCCAGUAGCAUCUACCACUCGUUCUGCUCAUCUGUUACUAAAGUUAAAUUAAAUAGUUUAUGGAGUACUCACUAUGUGGAAGGCUUUACGCUGAUCAUAAUCCUAUAGUGCCUUGAUUAAUUUUUCCAGAUUGUUCAUCUCUAUUCGCAGAUCCACCAAACCAGACGAUGUUGCUGGCAGAAAAAUGUGCACGCUCUGGUGUUUGUGCAAGAAUGAGAAGACCUCUGUGGCGCAGUGGCAGGAGCCUGCAAAUAACGUCCACUGUGGUGGAUUUGGGAUUGUCCAGAAUGUGACUGUGUAAGGCUGGGAUUGGAAGCCCGUUCUGAAUAUGUGCCUGAGUACCACGUCAGUUCAGCCGUGCUGAGCCUGAGCGAGGCGUCCUCCCUCACAAGCUUCCCAGGACCCCUUGGCUGUGCACACAAAGAGAAGCCGGCUUUUCUUGUUUGCGCCUUUGCUCCUUCCUAUUUGAUUGAAUUUGAAGAGGAACUGUUUGCCUUUGGCUGCACAUCCUGAAUCAUAAUCAGGAUGCUGCUGGCACAGAAAACCUGCUCCCACCCUUGCCUGAAAUAACUGAACAGGGAAGUCGAGAUCCUCCCCUCUCCAAACUUAAAGAAAGAGGCUCAUAAUUUAUGGAGUGCUGGCAAAGCAUCAAAAGUCAAUCCAGUCACUUACAGUAAAAUCAAGGAGGGCGGAACAAUGAAUAUAAAGUGAGAUUCAAACACCUCAUUAAGGGAACAAAGUGUCCAGUUGACACCAGAAUACUGAUGCUUACAUAUUUGUAAGCCAGAGUCCAGUGGCCUUCUGAGAGACUUCCUUGUCCGCGGGAUAUGAAAGGUAUAAAGCCACACCCUCAGCUUUUUCAGUCCUUCAACAAAUAUGCUUUGCUGAAACCAUCUAUCAAGCAUGGUGCUACUAAGGUAUAUUGGUUUCUUAGGGCUGCUGACACAAAUUACUAUAAACUUGGUGGCUUAAAGCAACAUAAAUUUAUUCCCUCAUAGUUCCAGAGGCCAGAAGUCUGAAGUCAAGGUGUUGGGAGGGCCAGACUCCCUCUGAAGCCUCUAGAGAACUUGCCUCAUUUCUUCCAGCUUCUGGUGGCUCCAGAUAUUUCUUGGCUUGUGGCUGCAUCACUCCUGUCUCUGCCUCUGGCUUGGCGUGACCUCCUCCUCCCUGAGUGUCUGUCUUCGGUGUGUCUCUGAGAAGGGUACUUGUCAUUGGAUUUAGGGCCCACUUGGACAAUCCAGGCUGAUCUCAUCUGGAGAUCCAUAAUUUAAUUGCAUUUGUGAAGACCCUUUUUCCAAAUAUGAUCACAUUCCUAAGUACUAGGGGUUAGGACUUGGUCAUAUCUUUUUGGGUGCCACCGUUCAAGAUCCAGAGGGUAGAAAGUUGAAAAGGACAGGGUUGUUGUUCUCAAGGAGUUCAGGCUAGUAGGGGAGACAAAUAGUUAAAUAACUAUAUCGAAAGAAUAACCGCAUCCAAAGCUGCGUUCCAGGUGCUGAGGGAUCUUAGAAGAGAUUGUACUGGGAACUGAUGCCGAGGUUGUGGUGGGGCAGAGGUAGGGUGUGUGUUUUUUUUUUAACCUUUGAACUCUACAAUUUCCUGGCAUCUAGAAAUCACUAUAGAACGUCAUCAGGUUGAAAAGACAAGUCCAGUUUGAAUAGUGAGGAUUAACACCGGCCCGGCCAGAUCUGUUGGGUCUGGCUGAGUUCAGCUAACCCUUUUGGUUGCCUCGAGGUUUUGGAGAGUCGGCAGGAAAAGGCGAGAAAGCCGAAGCCCAUGAAUUGGUUGAGAUUUUUGAUGGCUAUAUUUCUGAGAGGUGAAGAGCUGGAUGCCAUGAAAUGGGUCAUUGGCUUUCUCUGUGGCAGAGAAUGGGGAAGAGGACCGCUUGCAUCUGCCAUCCAUCCCAGGUCGGAGCGUGUGUGCCCCUGCAGGGCCACCUCGGGCCAAGGCUGUUGCCCCACUGAGAUCUCCUCCUCUGCUCCAAGGCCUUGGGCCGGAUGUUCUGUCUGAGCCUGGUGUGGUGGGGGAAGGCAGCUACUGCCCCAAGACAUGCUAGAGAGAAGAGACAGAACUGUUACUCACUUCUUUUUUGGGACAGCAUUUUUACAAGCUUUGCAGAACAUCACCUGCAGCUUUUUACAUUCUCCUGGGACUUUACCUUCUUUAUGAUUGUUUAUUAUAUUAAAAAGGUUCUUGAUAAUGGCUAUUAUGGAAUUAUUGUUAAUGUUCUUGUGCGUAAUAUGCUUGUUGUGAAAAAUGUCUUUAUUCCUUUUUUUUUUUAAAGAUUCACCCUGAGCUAACAUCUGUUGCCAGUCUUCCUCUUCUUCUUUUUCCUUCCCCAAAGCCCCAGUGCAUGGUUGUAUAUCCUAGUUGUAAGUUCUGGUUCUUCUAUGUGAGCUGCCGCCACAACAUGGCAACUGUCAGAAGCGUAGUGCGGUUCUGAGACCAGGAAGGGAACCCGGGCCACUGAAGAGGUGAGAGCACUGAACUUUAACCACCAGGCCAUCAGGGCUGGCUCAGACGUCUUUAUUCUUAAGGAGCGCAUGCGGAAGUGUUUAUGGGUGAUAUGUGAUAAUGUCUACAAUUUUCAAACACUUCAGUGACAAUAUGGGCACAUAAACCUAAUAACACAAAAAUGUUAAGAAUUGCUAGGUCUAGGCAGAAAGUAUAUGGAUGUUCAUUGCUCUAUUCUUUCACCUUUUCUCUAUGCUUGAAAUUAUUCAUAAUAAAAAACUUGGGAUAGAUUUGGAGAAGAAAAUUCUUGAAACAGAGUUUGUUGACCUGUGUUUCAUGGGCUCUGGCGGGAGAGGUGGAUGGGUGUCGGGGACCAGGAAGCUUCUAAAUUUACAUGUAAACUUUUGUGCUGUGUGUGUGUAUGUGUGUGUGUGUAUGUGUGUGUGUGUGUGUGUGUUUCUUCCCUCUUUGUGGGGAGGGAUUUAUUGUUUGUGCUUCUCCUCUCAUUCUCAAAUGAGUCUAUGACUGCCCCCCACAAGGUUAAACAUCCUUGCUUAAAGCUUGAGAUAAAUUUGCAUGCAUUAUACUUUUUGUAAAUGGAUGCAAACAGAGGAGCAGAGUCUGUUGCUUAUGUAUCAUUAGUAUUUUGUUGCAAAAUUUAAAUUAGAUUAUAAAACUAAAUUGGAUUCUACUUUCCCAUUAUCUUCAUUACUGGUUUCUUGAUUUUUCUUAAUUAAUUCUUUUCCUAUCAUAGUUGAAUUCUUAUACUCUUUUACAAGUUUAAAAUAUUGGUUGCUAACAUGAACAAAUCUGUUUUCCUUUGCACUAAUUUAAAACUGAAAUAAUAAUUUUGGUAUCCCUUUCUAGGUUGUAAAAAUAACACAGACUCACUGUAUACAACUUGUAAAAUACAGAAGUGUAUAAAGAAGGAAAUAAAAUUACCAUUAACCCGUGCUCCAGAGGCUGGGCCCAUGGUAUGGAAGGUAUCAAUAAAUCCUUGUCGGUGACUUACUUGGAAUGAAUGUCCAGAAAAUGCUCAAGAAUAUCUAAGGAUCCAAAAAGGAGCGACAGAAUAAUUGAAUAUAUAAUUACUGCUUUCUUUGAUAUCUAUGUUUACAAGCUUUCUUUGAACUGGUGGUAUUAUCUGCCUAGAAAGUACCAGAGUUUAUUAACCAUUUUCACAUUUUCUCUCUGACUCCUCCGUCUAACCCUCACUAUCCAUUCCCCCAACACUCAAAAUUUAUUGUAAAAAGGUGUCCUUUGAAAGGCUUUUUAAAAGAAAUGUGAUUAUCUACAGCUCAGUGUCACUUUUAAAGUUGUCCCUUGAUACUUUCUGGAGGCUGCAAAAUAUAUUUAAUUUCCAAACAUUCUUGAAAGUCAUCCAAUAAAUUCAGGCAGGGAGGGAAUGGCCAGGGUACAGGGUGUGCGAGGGACCGCACUGUGAGUUGGCCGGUAUCAUUUAUUAUAAGCAAUCCGGCAGGUGCGUAAAUAACUCCUACCAGGAGGUUUUCCGCUCAGCUUCCCAAAAUGGCUCCAUUUCAACAUCCAGCAGUGACGCUGUAUUCUCAGAAUUGGAUUAGCCAAGGCCUGGGCAAGGUAAAAUCCACUGGAAUGAACCAAAGGAAAGGUUUGCUCCUACAUCAACAGCAUGAGUAUGAAAUAGACUUUUGUUUAUUAAAAAUGGUAGGAUUCAUCACCUAAUUGAAAAAUCCAAUUCUUUGAAGGGCAGAUGUACAUUUCAUAUUAUAUGGUUCAGUCCUAUAGAUUUAGGUUUUGAGCACUUAUUAAGUCUAAGACAUCGUGCUGGGUGCCAUGGAGGAUAAAGAGAUAAGCAAGACCUGGCCUUGGCUUUGGGAGUUCACACACUUGUUGGGAGGCAGACGUAUAUAUCAUCUUAUCACAGGAGAGAUUGAAAAAUUAGAAACGCAAGCAAAAUGCUGUUGGGUUAGAGAGGAAAACUUGGAGAUGUCUCUUGGUUGAGGAGGAAUUCAAACUAGGCAUUCUUCCAUUCAUUUAUUACUCAGACAAUUGUGGAAUGCCAAACUGGUUUCAUACACUAUACCAUGAACACUCAGAGAGGGCCAAUUGUAGUUGUUUAAUUAUUUACAGAAGAAUAAAGUUCAACAGGCAGAAAAGGGAAGGGAGGGCAUUCCAGGGAGUAGGAAUUGAGUUGAGGCCUUGAGGCUGCAUGGCAUGCCCAAGAAACAGGGAGGACACAGGUGUGGCUCUGACCCAGGAGGUGUGUGUGCGAGUGGGGGAUGGUGGGGGCUGGAGUGAAGGUAAAGAUGGAAGAUAAUCAGAGCAAAACUGCAGAG
RNAcentral lists this long non-coding RNA (12472 nucleotides) under Equus caballus (horse). RNAcentral describes it as "lncRNA (ENSECAG00000054297.1)". The record is from RNAcentral. Lineage: Eukaryota; Metazoa; Chordata; Mammalia; Perissodactyla; Equidae.